CAGCCGUAAACUAUGCGCGUUAGGUGUAUCGGUGACCACGAGUCACCGAGGUGCCGAAGGGAAACCGUGAAACGUGCCGCCUGGGAAGUACGGUCGCAAGGCUGAAACUUAAAGGAAUUGGCGGGGGAGCACAACAACGGGUGGAGCCUGCGGUUUAAUUGGACUCAACGCCGGGAAGCUCACCGGAUAAGACAGCGGAAUGAUUGCCGGGCUGAAGGCUCUGCAUGACUAGCUGAGAGGAGGUGCAUGGCGUAGACGUCU
Molecule: ribosomal RNA, 261 nt
Filed under: uncultured archaeon
Lineage: Archaea
Description: partial 16S ribosomal RNA
Rfam family: Archaeal small subunit ribosomal RNA
Source: RNAcentral